AGAGUUUGAUCCUGGCUCAGAACGAACGCUGGCGGCGCGUUUUAAGCAUGCAAGUCGAGCGGCAAGGGUCUUCGGGCCCCUAGAGCGGCGGACAGGUGAGUAACACGUGGACAAUCUGCCCCCCGGCCGGGGAUAGCCCAGGGAAACCUGGAUUAAUACCGGAUGAGACGGGACCCGCGGAGGCGGGAUCCGGGAAAGGCGCUGCGGCGCCGCCGGGGGAUGAGUCUGCGUCCCAUUAGCUAGACGGCGGGGUAACGGCCCACCGUGGCGACGAUGGGUAGCCGGCCUGAGAGGGUGUACGGCCACAUUGGAACUGAGACACGGUCCAGACUCCUACGGGAGGCAGCAGCUAAGAAUCUUCCGCAAUGGGCGAAAGCCUGACGGAGCGACGCCGCGUGAACGAAGAAGGCCGUGAGGUUGUAAAGUUCUUUUCGGGAGGGGGAACGACCGUGGCAGGGAAUGGCCGCGGGAUGACGUGAAUCCCGGAAUAAGCCCCGGCUAACUACGUGCCAGCAGCCGCGGUAACACGUAGGGGGCGAGCGUUGUUCGGAAUCAUUGGGCGUAAAGGGCGUGCAGGCGGUCCUGCAAGUCCGGCGUGAAAGACCCCGGCCCAACCGGGGGGGCGCGCUGGAAACUGCAGGGCUUGAGUACAGGAGGGGAUGCCGGAAUUCCAGGUGUAGGGGUGAAAUCUGUAGAUAUCUGGAGGAACACCAAUGGCGAAGGCAGGCAUCUGGCCAUGUACUGACGCUGAGACGCGAAGGUGCGGGGAGCAAACAGGUUUAGAUACCCUGGUAGUCCGCACAGUAAACGAUGUGCACCAGGUGGCGGGGGGUCGACCCCCGGUACCGUAGCCAACGCAUUAAGUGCACCGCCUGGGGAGUAUGCUCGCAAGGGUGAAACUCAAAUGAAUUGACGG
This 916-nucleotide ribosomal RNA is filed under the name uncultured Spirochaetaceae bacterium. RNAcentral describes it as "bacterial SSU rRNA". It matches the Rfam family "Bacterial small subunit ribosomal RNA", at positions 8 to 916 of the family's 1533-position model. Lineage: Bacteria; Pseudomonadati; Spirochaetota; Spirochaetia; Spirochaetales; Spirochaetaceae. The record is from RNAcentral.